UACGGGGGGGGCAAGCGUUGUUCGGAAUUACUGGGCGUAAAGGGCCAGUAGGCGGCCAACUAAGUCCGACGUGAAAUCCCAAGGCUUAACCUUGGAACUGCGUCGGAUACUGGAUGGCUUGAAUUCGGGAGAGGGAUGCAGAAUUCCAGGUGUAGCGGUGAAAUGCGUAGAUAUCGGGAGGAACACCGGUGGCGAAGGCGGCUCUCUGGACCACUACUGACGCUGAGGCGCGAAAGCUAGGGGAGCAAACAGG
RNAcentral lists this ribosomal RNA (253 nucleotides) under uncultured bacterium. RNAcentral describes it as "partial 16S ribosomal RNA". It matches the Rfam family "Bacterial small subunit ribosomal RNA", at positions 524 to 776 of the family's 1533-position model. The record is from RNAcentral.